AACGAACGCUGGCGGCAUGCCUAACACAUGCAAGUCGAACGAGACCUUCGGGUCUAGUGGCGCACGGGUGGGUAACGCGUGGGAACCUGCCUUUAGGUUCGGAAUAACUCAGAGAAAUUUGAGCUAAUACCGGAUGAUGUCUUCGGACCAAAGAUUUAUCGCCUUUAGAUGGGCCCGCGUUGGAUUAGCUAGUUGGUGGGGUAAAGGCCUACCAAGGCGACGAUCCAUAGCUGGUCUGAGAGGAUGAUCAGCCACACUGGGACUGAGACACGGCCCAGACUCCUACGGGAGGCAGCAGUGGGGAAUAUUGGACAAUGGGCGAAAGCCUGAUCCAGCAAUGCCGCGUGAGUGAUGAAGGCCUUAGGGUUGUAAAGCUCUUUUACCCGAGAUGAUAAUGACAGUAUCGGGAGAAUAAGCUCCGGCUAACUCCGUG
RNAcentral lists this ribosomal RNA (433 nucleotides) under uncultured bacterium. RNAcentral's name for it is "partial 16S ribosomal RNA". It matches the Rfam family "Bacterial small subunit ribosomal RNA", at positions 29 to 507 of the family's 1533-position model. The record is from RNAcentral.